This 838-nucleotide ribosomal RNA is filed under the name uncultured bacterium. RNAcentral's name for it is "bacterial SSU rRNA". It matches the Rfam family "Bacterial small subunit ribosomal RNA", at positions 18 to 864 of the family's 1533-position model. The record is from RNAcentral.
CCUGGCUCCAGGACGAAACGCUGGCGGGGGUGCUUUAACACAGCCAAGUCGAAACGGUAAGCCCCCAGCUUGCUGGGGUACACGAGGGGCGAACGGGGGAGUAACACGUGGGUGACCUGCCCCGCACUUCGGGAUUAGCCUGGGAAACUGGGUCUAAUACCGGAUAGGACCGCACCGUGAGGGUGUGGUGGAAAGUUUUUCGGUGUGGGAUGGGCCCGCGGCCUAUCAGCUUGUUGGUGGGGUAAUGGCCUACCAAGGCGGCGACGGGUAGCCGGCCUGAGAGGGUGGACGGCCACAUUGGGACUGAGACACGGCCCAGACUCCUACGGGAGGCAGCAGUGGGGAAUAUUGCACAAUGGGCGGAAGCCUGAUGCAGCGACGCCGCGUGGGGGAUGACGGCCUUCGGGUUGUAAACUCCUUUCACCAUCGACGAAGGUUUUCUGACGGUAGAUGGAGAAGAAGCACCGGCUAACUACGUGCCAGCAGCCGCGGUAAUACGUAGGGUGCGAGCGUUGUCCGGAAUUACUGGGCGUAAAGAGUUCGUAGGUGGUUUGUCGCGUCGUCUGUGAAAUUCCGGGGCUUAACUCCGGGCGUGCAGGCGAUACGGGCAUAACUUGAGUACUGUAGGGGAGACUGGAAUUCCUGGUGUAGCGGUGAAAUGCGCAGAUAUCAGGAGGAACACCGGUGGCGAAGGCGGGUCUCUGGGCAGUAACUGACGCUGAGGAGCGAAAGCAUGGGUAGCGAACAGGAUUAGAUACCCUGGUAGUCCAUGCCGUAAACGGUGGGCGCUAGGUGUAGGGGUCUUCCACGACUUCUGUGCCGUAGCUAACGCAUUAAG